Non-coding RNA from Acanthosepion pharaonis, 105 nucleotides. Lineage: Eukaryota; Metazoa; Mollusca; Cephalopoda; Sepiida; Sepiidae. The record is from the annotation of a GenBank genome assembly.
AUACGGCCAUAUCAUGUUGAAACAACGGUUCCCGUAUGAUCAACGAAGUUAAGCGACUUCCAGCCUGGCAAGAACCGAGAUGGGUGACCGCUUGGGAAUAAGCGU